NNNNNNNNNNNNNNNNNNNNNNNNNNNNNNNNNNNNNNNNNNNNNNNNNNNNNNNNAGUAAAGUUGAAGUUCCGCAUGGUCUCUUUGGGGGCCAUUAUCCCUUCCCUCGAUCCUGGAGACUGGUUCGCCGCCCUCGACAUGAAGGACGCAUACUUCCAUAUAGCAAUCUACCCGCCUCACAGGCGCUUCCUAUGCUUUGUGGUAAACAAGGUGCAUUACCAAUUUGCAGUCCUUCCCUUCGGCCUAUCCUCGGCCCCAAGGGUGUUCACAAAAUGUAUGGCCGUCGUGGCGGCAUACCUUCGUCGGCAAGGGAUACAGAUGUUCCCGUACCUAGACGACUGGCUGGUACGCGGUCGCACCAAAGAGCAAGUUCGAGCUCACGUCCACAUAAUAGUGCACACAUUCAACGAGUUGGGCAUCCUACUCAACGAGGAGAAAUCCACUCUAGAGCCUACCCAGAGAAUAGAAUUUAUUGGGGCAGUCCUAGACUCCAGAUGUGCACGAGCUAUCCUACCGGACAAUCGCUUUCAUACCAUCACAAGCCUCAUUCAAGGGCUCAGGGCCUUCCCAACUACCACGGUGAGGUCGUGCCUUACCCUGCUGGGUCACAUGGCUUCUUGCACAUACAUAACCAGGCAUGCCAGACUUCGGCUUCGCCCACUCCAGACCUGGGUAUCAUCGGUAUACCGCCCAUAUCUGGACAGCUUGAACAUGGUGAUCACGGUCCCGAACUUGGUCCUGACCUCCCUCACCUGGUGGCUAGAUCACAGUGUGGUUUGCGAGGGGAUGCCGUUUCACGCCCCACAACCCUCUCUGCAGCUGGUCACAGACGCUUCAUCUCUGGGUUGGGGUGCCCACCUCAACGAACACCAUACCCAGGGCCUGUGGACUGCACCCCAGCUAUCCCUGCACAUCAAUGUUCGGGAACUGAUGGCGGUACGCUUGGCGUGCCAGGCAUUUCUCAAUCUCCGACGUGGCCGCUGUGUGUUAGUUCUCAUCGACAACACCACGGCCAUGUUUUACAUCAACAGGCAAGGAGGAGCACGUUCGUUGAUUCUAUGCCAAGAGGCCAUUCGUCUGUGGGACUUCUGCAUCGCCCACUCAAUCCAUCUCACGGCAUCGUUCCUUCCUGGAGUCCAGAACACUUUAGCGGACCGACUCAGCAGGUCCUUUCAGACGCACGAGUGGUCAAUUCGUCCGGACAUCAUCUAUUCCGUUUUCCAGAGGUGGGGAUUUCCCCAGGUAGACCUGUUUGCAUCUCGAGCCAACAGGAAGUGCCACGCGUUCUGCUCCCUACAAGGGCGAGCUCCGGGCUCUCUAUCGGAUGCGUUUCUCCUCCCCUGGAAAGACCGCCUGUUUUAUGCCUUUCCUCCAUUCCCUCUGGUCCACAAGGUGCUGCUCAAAUUACGCAGAGACCAGACACAAGUAAUUCUAGUGGCUCCAGCAUGGCCGAGACAACACUGGUACACCACACUGUUAGAGCUCUCGGUUCAGACACCGAUCCCGCUUCCGUUGUGUCCAGAUCUCAUCUCUCAGGACCACGGCCGACUACGUCACCCCGACCUACAAU
Long non-coding RNA from Chrysemys picta bellii (western painted turtle), 1570 nucleotides. The record is from Ensembl. NCBI's taxonomy places the organism in Eukaryota, Metazoa, Chordata, Testudines, Emydidae.